Molecule: ribosomal RNA, 512 nt
Filed under: Spencerhydrus latecinctus
Lineage: Eukaryota; Metazoa; Arthropoda; Insecta; Coleoptera; Dytiscidae
Description: partial 16S ribosomal RNA
Rfam family: Bacterial large subunit ribosomal RNA (bases 386-512)
Source: RNAcentral
GUCCUUUUGAUUUUAAUUUAAGGUCUGACCUGCCCAAUGAUAAUUUAAAUGGCCGCAGUAUUUUGACUGUGCAAAGGUAGCAUAAUCAUUAGUUUUUUAAUUAAAAGCUUGUAUGAAGGGUUGGACGAGAUAAAAUCUGUCUUAAUUUAAUUUAUUUUAGAAUUUAAUUUUUAAGUUAAAAAGCUUAAAUUUUUUUAAAAGACGAGAAGACCCUAUAGAUCUUUAUAUUUUUUUUUAUAUUAUUAUUAAGGAAUUUUUUAUUUAUUAUAAAAAUAAUUAUUUUAUUGGGGUAAUAUAAAGAUUUGAAAAAUUCUUUAUUUAUAAAAACAUUAAUUUAUGAUUAUUUGAUCCAAUAUUUUUGAUUGUAAGAUUAAGUUACCUUAGGGAUAACAGCGUAAUUUUUUUAAAGAGUUCAUAUCGAUAAAAAAGUUUGCGACCUCGAUGUUGGAUUAAAAAUUAUCCUAGGUGCAGUAGUUUAGGAAUUUGGUCUGUUCGACCAUUAAAUUUUUACA